GAUGAACGCUAGCGGCAGGCUUAAUACAUGCAAGUCGAACGGCAGCACGGGCUUCGGCCUGGUGGCGAGUGGCGAACGGGUGAGUAAUACAUCGGAACGUGCCCUGUAGUGGGGGAUAACUAGUCGAAAGAUUAGCUAAUACCGCAUACGACCUGAGGGUGAAAGCGGGGGACCGUAAGGCCUCGCGCUACAGGAGCGGCCGAUGUCUGAUUAGCUAGUUGGUGGGGUAAGAGCCUACCAAGGCGACGAUCAGUAGCUGGUCUGAGAGGACGAGCAGCCACACUGGGACUGAGACACGGCCCAGACUCCUACGGGAGGCAGCAGUGGGGAAUUUUGGACAAUGGGGGCAACCCUGAUCCAGCAAUGCCGCGUGUGUGAAGAAGGCCUUCGGGUUGUAAAGCACUUUUGUCCGGAAAGAAAUGGCUCUGGUUAAUACCUGGGGUCGAUGACGGUACCGGAAGAAUAAGCACCGGCUAACUACGUGCCAGCAGCCGCGGUAA
RNAcentral lists this ribosomal RNA (500 nucleotides) under uncultured bacterium. RNAcentral's name for it is "partial 16S ribosomal RNA". It matches the Rfam family "Bacterial small subunit ribosomal RNA", at positions 28 to 523 of the family's 1533-position model. The record is from RNAcentral.